RNAcentral lists this ribosomal RNA (344 nucleotides) under uncultured bacterium. Its description in RNAcentral is "bacterial SSU rRNA". It matches the Rfam family "Bacterial small subunit ribosomal RNA", at positions 917 to 1268 of the family's 1533-position model. The record is from RNAcentral.
GGACCCGCACAAGCGGUGGAGCAUGUGGUUUAAUUCGAUGCAACGCGAAGAACCUUACCAAGAAUUGACAUGCUGCGAACGUUUACGAAAGUAAAAAGUCUAUUAACUUAGUUAAUAGCGCAGACACAGGUGGUGCAUGGUUGUCGUCAGCUCGUGCCGUGAGGUGUUAGGUUAAGUCCUGCAACGAGCGCAACCCUUGUCUUUAGUUAUAUUCUAGAGAGACUGCCGUGAUAAACCGGAGGAAGGUGAGGAUGACGUCAAAUCAGCAUGCCCCUUACAUCUUGGGCGACUCACGUGCUACAAUGGUCGGGACAAAGAGAUGCUACCCCUGCGAAGGCAAAGGC